GGUUUAAUUCGAUUGAUACGCGAGGACCUUACCUGGGCUUAAAUGUAGAGUGCUAUUUUUUAGAGAUAGAAAUUCCCUUCGGGGCUUUCUGCAAGGUGCUGCAUGGUUGUCGUCAGCUCGUGCCGUGAGGUGUCGGGUUAAGUCCCAUAACGAGCGCAACCCUUAUCGUUAGUUGCCAUCUGGUAAUGCAGGGGACUCUAGCGAAACUGCCACCGUAAGGUGAGAGGAAGGUGGGGAUGACGUCAAAUCAGCACGGCCCUUAUGUCCAGGGCUACACACGUGUUACAAUGGUCGGUAUAGAGGGCAGCUACCUGGUGACAGGAUGCUAAUCUCGAAAACCGGUCUCAGUUCGGAUCGAAGUCUGCAACUCGACUUCAUGAAGUCGGAAUCGCUAGUAAUCGCGGAUCAGAACGCCGCGGUGAAUACGUUCUCGGGGUUU
RNAcentral lists this ribosomal RNA (439 nucleotides) under uncultured Sphingobacteriales bacterium. RNAcentral's name for it is "bacterial SSU rRNA". It matches the Rfam family "Bacterial small subunit ribosomal RNA", at positions 943 to 1382 of the family's 1533-position model. The record is from RNAcentral. Lineage: Bacteria; Pseudomonadati; Bacteroidota; Sphingobacteriia; Sphingobacteriales.